UGGGGAAUCUUGCACAAUGGGGGCAACCCUGAUGCAGCGACGCCGCGUGAGCGAUGAAGCCCUUCGGGGCGUAAAGCUCUUUCGACCGGAACGAUAAUGACGGUACCGGGAGAAGAAGCUGCGGCUAACUACGUGCCAGCAGCCGCGGUAAUACGUAGGCAGCAAGCGUUGUUCGGAGUUACUGGGCGUAAAGAGCGCGUAGGCGGUUUUCUAAGUUCGGUGUGAAAUCUCCCGGCUUAACUGGGAGGGUGCGCCGAAGACUGGGAAGCUGGAGUGUGGGAAAGGCAGGCGGAAUUCCUGGUGUAGCGGUGAAAUGCGUAGAUAUCAGGAGGAACACCGGCGGUGUAGACGGCUUGCUAGACCAUAACUGACGCUCAUGCACGAAAGCGUGGGGAGCAAACA
This 402-nucleotide ribosomal RNA is filed under the name uncultured bacterium. RNAcentral describes it as "bacterial SSU rRNA". It matches the Rfam family "Bacterial small subunit ribosomal RNA", at positions 355 to 774 of the family's 1533-position model. The record is from RNAcentral.